GAUCCACCUGAUCCAUUCCCGAACUCAGAAGUGAAACGUCUUAGCGCUGAUGGUAGUGUGGGAUUACCCUUGUGAGAGUUAGUCAUCGCCUGCU
This 94-nucleotide ribosomal RNA is filed under the name Acinetobacter baumannii. The record is from RNAcentral. Lineage: Bacteria; Pseudomonadati; Pseudomonadota; Gammaproteobacteria; Moraxellales; Moraxellaceae.